RNAcentral lists this ribosomal RNA (887 nucleotides) under Enterococcus faecium. RNAcentral describes it as "bacterial SSU rRNA". It matches the Rfam family "Bacterial small subunit ribosomal RNA", at positions 24 to 882 of the family's 1533-position model. The record is from RNAcentral. Lineage: Bacteria; Bacillati; Bacillota; Bacilli; Lactobacillales; Enterococcaceae.
UCAGGACGAACGCUGGCGGCGUGCCUAAUACAUGCAAGUCGAACGCUUCUUUUUCCACCGGAGCUUGCUCCACCGGAAAAAGAGGAGUGGCGAACGGGUGAGUAACACGUGGGUAACCUGCCCAUCAGAAGGGGAUAACACUUGGAAACAGGUGCUAAUACCGUAUAACAAUCGAAACCGCAUGGUUUUGAUUUGAAAGGCGCUUUCGGGUGUCGCUGAUGGAUGGACCCGCGGUGCAUUAGCUAGUUGGUGAGGUAACGGCUCACCAAGGCCACGAUGCAUAGCCGACCUGAGAGGGUGAUCGGCCACAUUGGGACUGAGACACGGCCCAAACUCCUACGGGAGGCAGCAGUAGGGAAUCUUCGGCAAUGGACGAAAGUCUGACCGAGCAACGCCGCGUGAGUGAAGAAGGUUUUCGGAUCGUAAAACUCUGUUGUUAGAGAAGAACAAGGAUGAGAGUAACUGUUCAUCCCUUGACGGUAUCUAACCAGAAAGCCACGGCUAACUACGUGCCAGCAGCCGCGGUAAUACGUAGGUGGCAAGCGUUGUCCGGAUUUAUUGGGCGUAAAGCGAGCGCAGGCGGUUUCUUAAGUCUGAUGUGAAAGCCCCCGGCUCAACCGGGGAGGGUCAUUGGAAACUGGGAGACUUGAGUGCAGAAGAGGAGAGUGGAAUUCCAUGUGUAGCGGUGAAAUGCGUAGAUAUAUGGAGGAACACCAGUGGCGAAGGCGGCUCUCUGGUCUGUAACUGACGCUGAGGCUCGAAAGCGUGGGGAGCAAACAGGAUUAGAUACCCUGGUAGUCCACGCCGUAAACGAUGAGUGCUAAGUGUUGGAGGGUUUCCGCCCUUCAGUGCUGCAGCUAACGCAUAAGCACUCCGCAUGGGAAGUA